Molecule: ribosomal RNA, 573 nt
Filed under: Borreliella afzelii
Lineage: Bacteria; Pseudomonadati; Spirochaetota; Spirochaetia; Spirochaetales; Borreliaceae
Also listed under: 1 other name
Description: bacterial SSU rRNA
Rfam family: Bacterial small subunit ribosomal RNA
Source: RNAcentral
AGUGGCGAACGGGUGAGUAACGCGUGGAUGAUCUACCUACGAGAUGGGGAUAACUAUUAGAAAUAGUAGCUAAUACCGAAUAAAGUCAAUUAAUUUGUUAAUUGAUGAAAGGAAGCCUUUAAAGCUUCGCUUGUAGAUGAGUCUGCGUCUUAUUAGCUAGUUGGUAGGGUAAAUGCCUACCAAGGCGAUGAUAAGUAACCGGCCUGAGAGGGUGAACGGUCACACUGGAACUGAGAUACGGUCCAGACUCCUACGGGAGGCAGCAGCUAAGAAUCUUCCGCAAUGGGCGAAAGCCUGACGGAGCGACACUGCGUGAAUGAAGAAGGUCGAAAGAUUGUAAAAUUCUUUUAUAAAUGAGGAAUAAGCUUUGUAGGAAAUGACAAAGUGAUGACGUUAAUUUAUGAAUAAGCCCCGGCUAAUUACGUGCCAGCAGCCGCGGUAAUACGUAAGGGGCGAGCGUUGUUCGGGAUUAUUGGGCGUAAAGGGUGAGUAGGCGGAUAUAUAAGUCUAUGCAUAAAAUACCACAGCUCAACUGUGGAACUAUGUUGGAAACUAUAUGUCUAGAGUCUGAUA